GACGAACGCUGGCGGCGUGCCUAACACAUGCAAGUCGAACGGGUGAGAGGAGCUUGCUCCUCGAUCUAGUGGCGAACGGGUGAGUAACGCGUGAGAAACCUACCUUUCAGUGGGGGGACAACAGUUGGAAACGACUGCUAAUACCGCAUAAUGUGCCGGGAGGGCAUCCUCCUGGUACCAAAGCUUUAUGUGCUGAAAGAUGGUCUCGCGUCUGAUUAGCUAGUUGGUGAGGCAACGGCUCACCAAGGCGACGAUCAGUAGCCGGUCUGAGAGGAUGAACGGCCACAUUGGGACUGAGAUACGGCCCAGACUCCUACGGGAGGCAGCAGUGGGGAAUAUUGGGCAAUGGGGGAAACCCUGACCCAGCAACGCCGCGUGAAGGAAGAAGG
Molecule: ribosomal RNA, 389 nt
Filed under: uncultured bacterium
Lineage: Bacteria
Description: bacterial SSU rRNA
Rfam family: Bacterial small subunit ribosomal RNA
Source: RNAcentral